GACGAACGCUGGCGGCGUGCUUAACACAUGCAAGUCGAACGGAAAGGCCCUGCUUUUGUGGGGUGCUCGAGUGGCGAACGGGUGAGUAACACGUGAGUAACCUGCCCUUGACUUUGGGAUAACUUCAGGAAACUGGGGCUAAUACCGGAUAGGAGCUCCUGCUGCAUGGUGGGGGUUGGAAAGUUUCGGCGGUUGGGGAUGGACUCGCGGCUUAUCAGCUUGUUGGUGGGGUAGUGGCUUACCAAGGCUUUGACGGGUAGCCGGCCUGAGAGGGUGACCGGCCACCUUGGGACUGAGAUACGGACCAGAAUCCUACGGGAGGCAGCAGUGGGGAAUAUUGCACAAUGGGCGGAAGCCUGAGGCAGCAACGCCGCGUGCGGGAUGACGGCCUUCGGGUUGUAAACCGCUUUCGCCUGUGACGAAGCGUGAGUGACGGUAAUGGGUCAAGAAGCACCGGCUAACUACGUG
RNAcentral lists this ribosomal RNA (468 nucleotides) under uncultured bacterium. RNAcentral's name for it is "partial 16S ribosomal RNA". It matches the Rfam family "Bacterial small subunit ribosomal RNA", at positions 28 to 507 of the family's 1533-position model. The record is from RNAcentral.